This 481-nucleotide ribosomal RNA is filed under the name uncultured bacterium. RNAcentral's name for it is "partial 16S ribosomal RNA". It matches the Rfam family "Bacterial small subunit ribosomal RNA", at positions 28 to 507 of the family's 1533-position model. The record is from RNAcentral.
GAUGAACGCUGGCGGCGUGCUUAACACAUGCAAGUCGAACGAAGCAUUUGCGACAGGUUUUUUCGGAAUGAAGUUGCUUAUGACUGAGUGGCGGACGGGUGAGUAACGCGUGGGUAACCUGCCUUGUACUGGGGGAUAGCAGCUGGAAACGGCUGGUAAUACCGCAUAAGCGCACAAUGUUGCAUGACAUGGUGUGAAAAACUCCGGUGGUAUAAGAUGGACCCGCGUCUGAUUAGCUAGUUGGUGAGAUAACAGCCCACCAAGGCGACGAUCAGUAGCCGACCUGAGAGGGUGACCGGCCACAUUGGGACUGAGACACGGCCCAGACUCCUACGGGAGGCAGCAGUGGGGAAUAUUGCACAAUGGAGGAAACUCUGAUGCAGCGACGCCGCGUGAGUGACGAAGUAAUUCGUUAUGUAAAGCUCUAUCAGCAGGGAAGAUAGUGACGGUACCUGACUAAGAAGCUCCGGCUAAAUACGUG